GCCUGAUCUUGGCUCAUUACAACUUCUGCCUCCUGGGCUCAAGUGAUCCAUCUGCCUCAGCCUCCGGAGUAGCUGGGAUUACAGGUGUGCGCCGCCACACCCAGCUAAUUGUAUUUUUAGUAGAGACGGGCUUCACCAUGUUGCCCAGGCUAGUCUUGAACUCCUGACCUCAAAUGAUCCACCCACCUCAACCUCCUAAAGUGCUGGGAUUAUAGGCAUGAGCCACCAUGCCAGGCCCUUGUUAUGCAUUUUUAACCCUACUUCACUAGUAAGCCCAACUACAUAAAGAUGUAUGCUUGGAUUAUACUUAAUAUGGGUAACUCAGAAGAUGCAGCUGGUUUUUUUGUUUUGUUUUUGUGUUGAGAUGGAGUCUCGCUCUGUUGCCCAGGCUGGAGUGCAAUGGCACCAUCUCAGCUCACUGCAACCUCUGGCUCCUGGGUUCAAGCAAUUCUCCCACCUCAGCCUCCCGAGUAGCUGGGAUUACAGGCACCGGCCAUCUUGCCUGGCUGAUUUUUGUAUUGUUGUAGAGACGGGGUUUCACCAUGUUGCCAUGUUGGCCAGGCUUGUCUUGAGCUCCUGACCUCAGGUGAUCUGCCCGCCUUGGCCUCCCGAAGUGCUGGGAUUACAGGCGUGAGCCACCGUGCCCAACCUAUACAGCUGUUUUUAAUAAACUAACAAUAUCAGACUAAUCUUGUCAGAGUUACUCAAGUCACAAGAACUUGAAAAGAAUGUUUGGCUUAGUUUCUAUAUUUCUGAGAGCUUUAGAAAUGUUUUAUAUAAAUGCUCAUGUAUCUCUAAGCCAAUUUGAAUAGAACUCCUUUAAGGGAUUUUAUAAAUUAACUUGGUAAUACCAUCAGAGGGAGAAUAAUUUCACGUAUACAUAACAUACAUGCGUAGACAUAACAUAGAUCUGCAAAGAAAAAAAGAAUUUUUUUUUAAGACAGGGUCUCCUUCUCCUUGACCUCUGGGCUCAAGCAAUCCUCCCACCUCAGCCUCCCAAGUAGCUGAGGCAUGCACUACCACACCCAGCUAAUUUUUAAAUAUUUUUUUGUAAAGACAGGGUCUCACCAUGUUGCCCAGGCUGGUUUCAAACUCCUGGGCUCAAGUGAUCUCCCCACCUCAGCCUCCCAAAGUGCUGGGAUGACAGGCAUGAGCCACUAUGCCUGGCCACAAACCAAGAUCUUAUAACUUUCAUACAUAGUUUCAUACAAGUUAAGAUUACCUGUUGAGGGUGAAAGUUGUUAUCAGUAUUUCAGGAGAAGGCCCUAAAGAUUUUUUUCUUUGGCCAGUUUGUUUCCAAAUAGUCCUUUUAACCUUGUUUUUUGUUUUGUUUUGUUUUGUUGUUUUUAACCAAAGGUGUACCUAAUCCAAUGUAACUCGAAACCCAUAAGACUUUUUGUGGCCAUGGAUACAAGAGAUGUUCUCAGAGUCCCCCAGGAUCCAAAGUUACCCCACAGAUAGCCAAAAGAAAGACAAGCGCCCUCAGAGCUGGUGAUGGCUGGUAGGAUGUCAGCUGUCGCCGAGUCUGUGUUGCUAUGAAGAAAUACCUGAGGCUGGGUAAUUUAUAAAGAAGUUUAAUUGGCUCAUGUUUCUGUAGGCUUUAUAGGAAGCACGGUGUUGGCAUCUGCUUGGCUUCCAGGGAGGCCUCAGGAAGCUUUCAAUUAUGACGGAGGGCAAAGGAGGAGCAGGUGUCUCACGCAGUGCGAGUGGGAGCAAGAUGGGGUGAGGUCAUGCCACACACUUAACCAGAUCUCUUGAGAAAUCACUCACUCUCAUGAGAACAGCACCAAAGAGAUGGUGCUAACCAUUUAUGAGAAAUCUGUCCCCAUGAUUUAAUCACCCGUCACCCAUCCCCACCUCCCACAUUGGGGAUUACAUUUCAAUGUGAGGUUUACAGGCAACAUCAUCCAACAUAUCAGAGUGCAGCUCACAUUACUGUCUGGCCAGCUAUAAAUUCCCUUUUUUUUUUUUUUUUUUUUUUUUUUUUUUUUUUUGAGACAAAGUCUCACUCUGUUGCCCAGGCCAGAGUGCAGUGGCUGAGAUUCUCUACUCACUACAACCUCUGCCUCCCGGGUUCAAGUGAUUGUCCUGCCUCAGGCUCCCAAGUAUCUGGGAUUACAGGCACCCGCCACCACGCCUGGCUAAUUUUUGUAUUUUUAGUAGAGACGGGGUUUCACCGUGUUGGCCAGGCUGGUCUUGAACUCCUGAUCUCAGGUGAUCCAUCCGUCUCGGCCUUCCAAAGUGCUGGGAUUAAAGGCGUGAGCCACCGCGCCCGGCCUGUAAAUUCUUGGGGCUACAUCCUGACCAUUGGCUGUUCCCCCAGGCAUUUGGAAGCCAAACUGGCCAUAAAGGCAAGUUCUCAGGACACAAAACAAGACGAAAGGAGAAUCGUAUCCCAUGAUUCUCCUCUUCACAACAAAGGACCCAAGAGACAGAGACAAAGGCAAACAGUGACUCUUCCUGGGAGGCUGAAGAUCACCGAGGACUCCUCGAGAUCAGAUGCGCUGAAGUCAAAACCAAAGAACCCAUUCUUCCGAAUGUGGCUCUGCUGGUCCAAAUUCAGAAAGGAAGAAAACAAAGAGACUUUGACCACCCUCACACAGUCGCGCUGCAGACAGAAAUCUGGGAGGCUGACUUGAGUAAGAAUUCUUUUUUUUUUUUUGAGACGGAGUUUUGCUCUUGUCGCAAAGGCUGGAGUGCAAUGGUGCAAUCUCGGCUCACUGCAACCUCUGCCUCCCGGGUUCAAAUGACUCUGUUGCCUCAGCCUCCCAAGUAGCUGGGAUUACAGGUGCCCACCACCACACCCGGCUAAUUUUGUAUUUUUAGUAGAGAUGGGGUUUCUGCAUGUUGGUCAGGCUGGUCUCAAACUCCUGACCUCAGGUGAUUCACCCACCUCGGCCUCUGAAAGUGCUGGUAUUAUAGGUGUGAGCCACCACGACCAGUCUUGAGUAAGAAUUCUUUCUUUUGGCCGGCUCUACCAGGGGUCCUGGCUCUCUGUGCAGCUCCCAGACCAAGUGAGGUGUUCCAGCCAAGGGUACCUCAUCCCCAUGACUAGAAACUGCAGGGAGGGUCAAAAUCUUUUCCUUCUCCCCAUCUUAGGUUCCUUGGUGGGGGCCCUGUUGCUUGGACUAACAAAAGACAGAUUCACAAGAGAAAAACAUACCAGUUUAUUUACUAGAAGUUGCACAUGACAUGGGUACCUUCGUAAGGAAACGAAGGCCCAGAGAUCCAGUCCACUGAGUGUGCUGAUGCCAGGUUGGAAGAAGAGUGGAGAGGCGUGGGAAGUGCGACGGACAGGGGAGUGAGCCUGGGGCAGGAAACUAGGGGGACAUGCCAUCUUCAGAGAUGAGUUUGCCCCUUCCCUCUGGGUAUAGGGAAGGCGCCUCUCAUAGGAUGAUCUCAUGGCCUGCUCCAGAGGAGAAAGGGGAGGUCAGAGAGUCCUCGAGGCCCAGCCUCCCACAUGCAAGCUGUGUGACCUCGGGCUAGUCACCUAACCUCUCAGAGCUCUCUUUCCUCCUCUCUCUACACUGGGGUGGUUGAAAUGCUUGACCUCUUGCUCCCUCAUAGGGAGUGCUCAGUGACAUUGGCGGUUGUGACGCUCAGCUCACCAGUCCUGCCUACUUGCCAGCAGGUAUUCUCAGAGGGACCACAGAGCUGAGGGUGACCUGCACCAGUACCCACUUGGGACCAUAAUUCGUAGAUAAGGUUCAGGCACAACACCCAGAGAAGGAAAUGGCAGCCACCUGGCUCGGUUGAAAUACUCAUUUCAAGGGAAUUCCUUGUCCAUUCAAAUGACUGAACAACAGCUUGAUUUCAUGGAAUAAUGGCUUUUAUUAAGAAGCCAACAGGAAUGAUCAUAGUGGGGAGUCUUGUGUCCUGGCAGUGGGUGUUUGUAGAGCACCCGGUGGUCACCAGCAACUCUGUGCAAGGCUCAGUGGGAGGGUGAUUGGUGUGUUGGAGGAUGUGGGUACACAGUAGCAUAGGCAUGCAUGUGGCUGAGUGCACACAUGUGCAUACAUGUUCACACAUGCACCCGCAGCGGGAACUUGGUGAAUACUUGUUGGUUGGUGGUGGUUUUUUUUUUUUUUUGAGAUGGAGUUUCACUCUUGUUGCCCAGGCUGGAGUGCAAUGGCACCAUCUCGGCUCAGUGCAGCCUCUGUCUUCUGAGUUCAAGCAAUUCUCCAGCUUCAGCCUCCCAUGUAGCUCUGGGAUUACAGGUGUGUGCCACCAUACCCGGCUUUUUUUUUUUUUUUUUUAAGUAACAGGGUUUCACCAUGUUGGGUCAGGCUGGUCUCGCACUCCUGACCUCAAGUGAUGUGCCUGCCUCGGCCUCCCAAAGUGUUGGGAUUACAGGCAUGAGCCACUGUGCCUGGCUGGUUGGUGGGUUUUGACUGGAAGGCUAUGGAGCUCCAGUGGUAGAUGUGGUUAUAAGGGUAACUGGGGGGUCUCAGAGUGGGGGCCAGUUGCAUCAGGCCCCUGGAGGGUGGGACACUGCCUUUCCAAGAGCAACAAAGUGUGGGCGAUUUGUGGUGCUGAGAAUCCUGAGCAGGCAGUUCGUCUAGAGCAGGGUUGCAAACUUUUUCUGUAAAAGGCCAGAUAGUAAAUAUGUUAGGCUUUGUGGGCCUUGUAGUCUCUGUUGCAACUACUCAGCUCUGCCCUGAUGAGGCAAAAGCAGCCACAGGCAAUGUACAAAAUGUCCGUGGCUGUGUUCCAAGAAAACGUUAUUGGCAAAAACAGGCAGUGGGCCAGAUCUAAGCCAUGGGCCGUAGUUUGCCAACCCCUGGUCUAGACCACUCCCAUUUAUAAAGUGAUUCGGCUUUAGCAGCUUCCUGGAAGGUGGUGCUGCUGGCUGAUAAAGCAGAGGGAUGGAGCUUGUAGAAUUCAGGUGAUGAUAGGGCUUGGAUCUGAGUCCCCAGCGCGUCUCAUGUUGAAUUGAAACUUUGGAGGUGGGGACUGGUGGCAGGUGAUUGGAUCAUGAGGGCAGAUACCUCAUGGGUUGGUGCUGUCCUCGAGAUAGUGAGUUCUUACCAGAUCUGGUUUAAAAGCAUGUGGCACCUCUGUCCCACUCUCUCUUGCUCCUGUUUUUGCCACGUGAUGCACCUCCUUCCUUUUUGCCUUCUGCCAUAAUUGGAAGCCUCCUGAGGCUUCUCCAGAAGCUGAACAGGUGCUGGUGCCAUGCUUGUACAGCCUGUAGAACCAUGAGCCAGUUAAACCUCUUUUCUUAUAAAUAACCCCAUCUCAGCAAGAAUAGCCAAACACACAGGUUUGCUGAGCAGAGCCAUACGGCCAGAAGAUAAGUGGGGGUCCCAAG
Molecule: long non-coding RNA, 5311 nt
Filed under: Homo sapiens (human)
Lineage: Eukaryota; Metazoa; Chordata; Mammalia; Primates; Hominidae
Description: HSALNT0278655
Source: RNAcentral